Alexandromys fortis (reed vole) is the source of this 1686-nucleotide long non-coding RNA. RefSeq lists it as uncharacterized. Lineage: Eukaryota; Metazoa; Chordata; Mammalia; Rodentia; Cricetidae. The record is from RefSeq and is a predicted model, not a curated record. The transcript has 3 exons.
CCAAGUCUGACAGUAAUAGGCAGACAACUGCCCCGCUGUGGCAUACCAGGUGCUGAAGAAGGCUAAGUGAGGCCACAGAGAAGCUUUCCAGGUGACAGAUCGAGUCCUCCGGGCUGGCCUCUACCCCAGAGCUCACACAGGAGGCCUUGGCUGCUCACCUGCUAAUUAACUUAGCAGCACAGAGCUUCUUGAAAGUCUGAGCAGGGUGCCUGGAAGUUUUGCCCAAACCUGUGUAUAUGUGCGUCACGAAACUAGAAGGAGGGUGCUAAGAGGGAGAAAAAUCUUAAGACUAUUUGAUAACCCAUCUAAUUGGCGAAUCUUAUCAGCACCUGUAUAAAAACAGUUCCCAUUAACUGAGCAUGGUGGCACAGAACUAUAAUCCCAGCUCUUGGGAGGCAGAGGUACGGGGAGCUCAAGUUCAAGGAUAGCCUCGUUAUAGAGUGAGAACCUGUCUUGGAAAGAAAAUCCCAUAUAUACUUCAUAUAUAUACUUCAUGACUCAGUAUAUACCCACCCUUGUCAUAAAAUGCUUGUCUUAAGAGACAAAUUGAUAAAGACCCGGUAGACAAUAUUUAUCAGUACUUUUCAGUCUCAGAACAUGAUAUAAAUUCAUGAAGAACCCUUAUGAAAUAGCACAUCUGGAUACUCUCCCUUUACACCCUCACCCAGUUUCAAGAGUCUCAGCUAAUAGCUAAGACUUCACUGGUUGUAACUCUGAUAUAUCAUUAAUAUUAUUUACUGCAGUAGACUAGGCAUAGGAUCUGCUAGUCUUUAAAGACACAAUGGUGAACAAAAUGGAUAUAUUCCACGGGGAAGGUGGGGCUCCAGGGAUGGAUUAAGGUAAAGGAAAGAGGAGGGGUUGCCUGUGCCACCGGAUGGAGAGUAGUGCUAACCACUGCCCUAAUCAAACAUCUGGUCAGCAAUGAGCGUUUUCUAGUGCCUGGUUUUCCUGGCAGUAUUGCUGGAGAGAUGGGGGUCCGUGUUUCCAGGAAUAAUCCUAUGUUUCAGAUGCCUUAAGUGUUAAGUUCAGGUGCAAACGGCCCAUUGAAUCCUGACAGUCCACAGAUUUUAAGAAGUUUUGGUAUUUCUUGUUCAUUGCCUAUGGCCGUUGCCACUCUGAACCUUUGUUUGGGUAACUAGCAUAGAUUACUGGUUGAAUAAGAAUCAUCUCUUGCAGCCGGGCGGUGGUGACACACGCCUUUAAUCCCAGCACUUGGGAGGCAGAGGCAGGCAGAUCUCUGUGAGUUCGAGACCAACCUGGUCUACAAGAGCUAGUUCCAGGACAGGCUCCAAAGCCACAGAGAAACCCUGUCUCGAAAAAAAAAAAAAAAAAGAAUCAUCUCUUGCCUCUGCCCGAGGCUUCCCAUGCUCACGCCGUCCAAGGGUUACAGUGGGCUGCGUAAAAUCUAAAUCCUCUCACAUGGGUUGUGACAGUCCUGAGGUAGUCGUAGUCAUGUUUCAAGGAAAAUAAAUAACAGUCUAGCUGUCUGUAUUUCAAGUCUGGGUGGAUGAGGCCUUUUGACAGCUGUUUUAACCACCAAAUCGAAGGACUUUUUGAAACAGAACCGCCCUUAGAUCGGGGUGCUCCUUCGUCUUAAAAAGAGAAAGGGAAGCGGUGCAAGACUCCAGUGCCAAAGUCACCGCUUUGACGAGUUAUGCACCACCCCCGGGGGAAAGGCGCCCCCAU